AAACCUUCCUGGACACUCCCCAAACCAAGACCUAUAGGGUGUAUAAAAACGUCUUUCAUAUCUCAAUCUUAGGGUGAUUGAGAAAUAGUAAAACCA
RNAcentral lists this non-coding RNA (96 nucleotides) under unclassified sequences. Its description in RNAcentral is "PhotoRC-II RNA". It matches the Rfam family "PhotoRC-II RNA". The record is from RNAcentral.